CGACAGGCGACACAGGCGGCCGCCUGGGGCGCCAUCUGAUGGAUAGGGCGCAAAAUAAAAUAAAUAAAUAAAUAAAUAAAUGUUUAUUAAAUUCAUGUUUGUAAUAUGAAAUGCAAUCUCUACAUACUCAAAAUUCCCAUUUGAAAUGACAUGAAAUUAAAACAUCAAUAUUUAAAUUCUAAUAAUCUGGCUGCAUUUCGAGCUCCCGCUUGAGCCACCGCUCCGAUGCAUUUGACCGUUAAGGUUGCCAUAGAUCACGUGUGUGGGUGGCACUGUAGAAGGACAUCCUGUUGUCGUCGCGUUUAAACGUUUGAUAUUUUACGAUGAAAAGAACGCCUAAGCCAUCGGGAUCAGCAUUCCGAAAGCGAAGGAAGGAAGAAGAAUAAAAACGGGCCCAAAGCAGAGCGUCUUCAUCCAGGCAUCACGCAGCAGCAGCACAUUUACUGAGCUACAAUCUCAGCAUCUAGAACCAGAAGAAGAACCCAACACCAGCAGACUCAGUGCUCCAAUCCAACAGUCUGAAGAGACACCAUCAUCAGCUUCAACAGAUGUCUGUGAACAUGUAUGAGCUGCUGGCCCCAUGGAUCCUGCUGACUGGCCACAGCAGUUGAACAAAAUGGAAAGUAGAACUUUCUUUAUGAUGACACUUUGAUAUUUGAGUUCUGCUUUUGAUUGCACAGUUUAAUGCUGCUUUUGAUUUUGCAUCCCCCCCAAUGACAUUUGCACAACAUUUUGAGUUGUCGGUUAUUGUAAUAUUCUCAGGUUACUUAUCUUUCAAGCUUACAUUUAUUCUUCAGGCUGAUGACUUUAAAGAGUUGCUGU
This is a long non-coding RNA of Nothobranchius furzeri (turquoise killifish), 822 nucleotides long. RefSeq lists it as uncharacterized. Lineage: Eukaryota; Metazoa; Chordata; Actinopteri; Cyprinodontiformes; Nothobranchiidae. The record is from RefSeq and is a predicted model, not a curated record.